AUACGGAGGAUGCGAGCGUUAUCCGGAUUUAUUAGGUUUAAAGGGUGUGUAGGCGGUAUUUUAAGUCAGUGGUGAAAUCUCGGAGCUUAACUUCGAAACUGCCAUUGAUACUGGAAUACUUGAGUAUAGUUGAGGUAGGCGGAAUAUGUAAUGUAGCGGUGAAAUGCAUAGAUAUUUCAUAGAACACCGAUUGCGAAGGCAGCUUACUAAACUAUUACUGACGCUGAUGCACGAAAGCGUGGGGAGCGAACAGGAUUAGAUACCCUAGUAGUCC
Molecule: ribosomal RNA, 274 nt
Filed under: uncultured bacterium
Lineage: Bacteria
Description: partial 16S ribosomal RNA
Rfam family: Bacterial small subunit ribosomal RNA
Source: RNAcentral